This 1113-nucleotide long non-coding RNA is filed under the name Gadus morhua (Atlantic cod). RNAcentral describes it as "lncRNA (ENSGMOG00000023760.1)". The record is from RNAcentral. Lineage: Eukaryota; Metazoa; Chordata; Actinopteri; Gadiformes; Gadidae.
AUGUGGCCUGCGCAUGCGCAGAGGGAUUUGAGCUUCGCGGUCGAGCCCACGGACAACAACGCACCCUGCGCUAUGGGAGUGCAGCGCCCCCCUGUGGCCACGACCGGAAGGGCCGGAGAACCAGGAGCUGCCCACCGCCCCCUGGUGGCAAGGACAGCGGCUAGGCUGCCGAAGUUCUCCGGCGUAACGCAGCUGGAGCCAUACCUGGCCCAGUUCCGGCUGGCGGCGUGGGGUGCCGAGGAGGCGGUUGUCCACCUGGCUCUGGCGUUGGAGGGGACGGUAGCAAGGGUGCUGCUUGACCUGGACAAAGCGGACCAGCGAGACCUUCAGGCCCUGAUCCGAGCACUGGAGAGGCGGUUGGGUGAACGGGUCUCCCGCAACGAGAGCAAGCAGUUGCUGGCUUCUCACCGCCGCAGGGAGGAGGAGAGCCUGGGCGUCUACGCUGCUGACGUCCAGCUCUUGACCCGGCGCAGCUACCCGGAAUUCUCCGCGGCUACACGGGAGCCCUGGCGCUCUUCGCUUUCCUGCGGGGACUGCAGCCGGAGAGUCUGGGGCAGCAUGUCCGCCUCACCGAGCCCCAUACCCUCGAUGCGGCUCUGGACCAGGCGGAACGGGCUGAGGAGGAGCUCUGCCGCCGUGCAUCCGUGGACGCGGCUGGGGCAGCGGCCGCCCCCGGCACAAAGAAUGUGGAGGUCAAGUCCAGGCAGCGGAAGGGCCGGAUCCGGACGGCCACCCUUCCCGCCAGCGAGACGGCUGAGGCUUCCCUUGCGCAGUGUCGGCAGCUGGGGCUGGUCGAGGACUGCGGGUGGACGGGGCAGCGUGCCACUCAUCCUCGUCGGAAGGCCAGACGUCGGAGGGCGGCGAAGGAUGGGGUGCCCGAACGGCGCCCCAGAGGCCCCCUACAGCAGAACCUGGUGGGGGCCCCAAUUGAGGUGGUCCCCGACCACACCCCCAGGACCUCUGCAGACAAUUGGAGACGGGCGUCCCAACCCGAGGGGAAGGCUGCACCGCAACGGGGCCGCUACUGGCAGUGGCCAAGGCGGCGGCGCCGGCCCCCUGAACACUCGGGACUGUGCAGUGGGUGUUGGGGUCGUCGGGACGUCUGACCCCUAA